AAAAAUUAAGCAAAUGGGAUAUGAACAAACAUCAUCUGUUGUUAGAGAAGCCAUAAGGGACCAAGUGGAGAGUGGUGAACCUAGCUCAGAGAGGUGAAAAUUGUAGAGUGCUUAAGCUUGAGGUCCAAUCAGGAUGUUCUGAUUGAAGCAGUGGCCCUCGAGAAGUUGAAGGAGAAUGCUGAGCAAGCUGAAAACACUAGGGAAGCUGAGUUAUUCGAUCAAAUGAUUUCUCUUGUGACUCGCAUGCAUGAACGUCUUGUUCUGAUAAAACAGUCUCAGACCAGCAGCCCAGUCCCAAUACCAGCUGAUUUUUGCUGCCCUCUCUCUCUUGAGUUGAUGACUGAUCCAGUGAUUGUGGCAUCUGGGCAAACCUAUGAGCGAGCGUUCAUUAAAAACUGGAUUGAACAUGGGCUCACUGUGUGUCCCAAAACACGACAGACUCUUGCUCACACCAAUCUGAUACCUAAUUACACUGUAAAGGCUCUCAUUGCAAAUUGGUGUGAGUCCAACAAUGUGAAGCUGCCUGAUCCUGUGAAGUCUGUGGGCUUCAAUCAGCCCUCACCACUUCUUGUACAUGCAGAGUCUGGUGGCAUGCCCAGGGAUUCACA
This 608-nucleotide unclassified non-coding RNA is filed under the name Hevea brasiliensis (rubber tree). The record is from RNAcentral. Lineage: Eukaryota; Viridiplantae; Streptophyta; Magnoliopsida; Malpighiales; Euphorbiaceae.